AUGGAGGAAUCAUUGGGAGAGGUAGCUCUAGGCGCCUCGUUGACCUACAACAUUUCUGAUCUCCAAAUGCAUAAAACCCCCUGCAAGCGGCUGGUUCGAAGGCAGCCAUAUCACAGAUCGACUUCAUUUCGACGCAACCACUACAGACUCUGUCUCGGUCUCCAUUCCUUUGCCUGGCUAACGGGGAUGGGGAUGGCACUUGCUCCACGCUCGUCUCUGUCUCUGCGCUCCCUGCUGCUGCUCAUGUCGCACAGGAAGCCACAUCGGAGCUCUUUCUUCUCCUCCUCCGCCGCCGUUCCGCCUGCGGCUCCAGGAACUGCCACUCCGGCUGCUGAUCCUGCCGUUCAGCCUCCAGCCGCUCCAGUUCCUAAAGGUCCGCGCGAAUCUACCCGCGAUGGUCCGCCACGCCAACCUCCUGGAACUAUGGAUAUAGACGCUAAAGACCCCGGCAAGAAGACUCUCUAA
Molecule: ribosomal RNA, 465 nt
Filed under: Triticum aestivum (bread wheat)
Lineage: Eukaryota; Viridiplantae; Streptophyta; Magnoliopsida; Poales; Poaceae
Description: partial small subunit ribosomal RNA
Source: RNAcentral